Bos taurus (domestic cattle) is the source of this 997-nucleotide long non-coding RNA. NCBI's taxonomy places the organism in Eukaryota, Metazoa, Chordata, Mammalia, Artiodactyla, Bovidae. The record is from Ensembl.
UUAGACUUGAAAUAUCAGACACUUAAGAAGGUUAUGGUUUAAAGACACUACUCACAACCCUAGAGGAAGAAACCAAAAGCAAAAAUCCUUGCAUUUUCCCUCUGAAUGUUCUUGAAUUUGUUCUGUCUUUUCUUUGGUGGGAAAGAGUGGUGCUGCACACAAACAAAUCUGCCUGCAUGGGGGGUGCUUCAAAACCGUCUGAGCUAUUCACUCGGAUUCCUGAGGUCCAAGAAGCCUGCAGUCCUGCUGCUGUGGGAAUGGGGCCGGGGUGUGAGGCGGGGAAGGGGUUGGAGAUGCGGAUGACUGAGACAGUGCAGAUGGAGAUGGUGGAGCUGAUGCAGGUGGAAGGGGAGAGAGAGGCUGCAGAGAGUGCAGGGUGACAGGAUGGGAAGAAGAAAGGGAAUGAAGUCACCGUCUGGAAUCAGAACCCACGGCUCUCCCAGUCCAACUCUGGCCCGGUGACUGCCACGCCAAAUCCAGGCUCUAGCGUCUCUCAGGAGCACAAAAGGAAACGAGGGCGCCGACAGUGAGGCUGUGAGACAGGAAGCAGGAAGCCAGGUGCUCCUGCUGCUGCUGUAGCCUGGAGCUGUUCCCGAAACGCCCUCCCUGCCCGAGCACACGCCAUGUUGCGGACAGCGCAGCCCAGACAUCUUGUGACCUAGAACCUUCUUCAUGGGCUCUGGAAAUGUUGAGCGUGGACCCAAGAACACCUAGGGAUCAGGGAUACCAUCUGGAUCCAUAAAUUUUCCCCUAAUGGACAGCCCCAGUGUGGGAAAAGAAAACCCACGCAGAUUCCACACAGAAGACAGGGAAUGUCGAAGACCAACAUUGUGGGUGAGACUGAGUGCCGAUGCAAGCCCUCUGCCUGCAGUGGCAAAUCGUGACCAGCAAGCCCUCAGUCAUGAUGAACAGCUAUGAACCGGGGUUGAUGGCCAGAGCAUCAUUACCCUUCUACACAUACUCCACGAGGACAACCCUGUGCAACACCGCAGAACAA